UUAGAAUGCAAGGAAGUUGACAUGUCAUCACUUCAUUUUUUUGCGCCUGCGCAUAAAUCUGAGAAGCGUGAGUUUGUCAUUAAUUGUUUAUCAAGACAUAGGAUAGGUUAUGUGAAAAUAUUACUGAUGUUUAAUGUUAAGAAUGGACCAAAAGAUUAAUGCUAAACAAGGUUUGACAUGUUUGAACGAACGUAAAUAGAUUAUUUACUAGGUUUUUUUAGCUUUUCGGCGUGAUUUUACAACCCCCCACCACGUUUUGUGGGAGCAUAAUGAACGCUAACUACUUGGUGUUAUUUGGACAUAAAUUAUGAACUUUGUCAAAAGAAACCACAUUUGUUCCGGACCUGGGAUUCCUGGCAGUGCCUUCUGAUGGAGAUAAUCAAAGUAGGAUGAGAAGAGGAAGUUGCCCCAAGCGCUAUGGAACCCAGACGAGAUGAGAAAUUGGCCCCAAGCGCUAUGGAUCCCAGACGAGAAGAGACCGCACUCAGUCAGCUGUAUAAGGAAAUAAGCAAACAGGAAACCGCUCACCCAGAGGCGGCGCUCCUUGUGGCCGGAGACUUUAAUGCAGGGAAACUUAAAUCAGUUCUACCUAAUUUCCAUCAACAUGUUAAAUGUGCAACCACAGAGAAAAAAAAUCUAGAUCACCAAGACUCCAAACACCUGUACUCUCCCUCGCCCUCCAUUUGGUAAAUCCGACCACAACUCUAUCCUCCAGAUUCCUGCUUACAAGCAAAAAUUAAAGCAGGAAGCACCAGUGACUCAGUCUAUAAAAAAGUGGUCAGAUGAAGCAGAUGCUAAACUACAGGACUGUUUUGCUAUCACAGACUGGAACAUGUUCCGGGAUUCUUCCGAUGUCAUUGAGGAGUACACCGCAUCAGUCACUGGCUUUAUCAAUAAGUGCAUCGAGGACGUCGUCCCCACAGUGUACGUACAUACCCCAACCAGAAGAUAUGUAUUACAGGCAACAUUCGCACUGAGCUAAAGGGUAGAGCUGCCGCUUUCAAGGUGCGGGACUCUAACCCGGAAGCUUAGAAUAAAUCCUGCUAUGCCCUCCGACGAACCAUCAAACAGGCAAAGCGUCAAUACAGGGCUAAGAUUGAAUCGUACUACACCGGCUCCAAUGCUCAUCUUAUGUGACAGGGCUUGCAAACCAUUACGGACUACAAAGGGAAGCACAGCCGCGAGCUGCCUAGUGACACGAGCCUACCAGACAAGCUAAAUCACUUCUAUGCUCGCUUCGAGGCAAGCAACACUGAGGCAUGCAUGAGAGCAUCAGCUGUUCCGGACAACUGUGUGAUCACGCUCUCCGUAGCUGACGUGAGUAAGACCUUUAAAUAGGUCAACAUUCACAAGUCUGCGGGGCCAGACGGAUUACCAGGACGUGUGCUCCGGGCAUGUGCUGACCAACUGGCAGGUGUCUUCACUGACAUUUUCAACAUGUCCCUGAUUGAGUCUGUAAUACCAACAUGUUUCAAGCAGACCACCAUAGUCCCUGUGCCCAAGAACACAAAGGCAACCUGCCUAAAUGACUACAGACCCGUAGCACUCACGUCCGUAGCCAUGAAGUGCUUUGAAAGGGCUCACAUCAACACCAUUAUCCCAGAAACUCUAGACCCUCUCCAAUUUGCAUACCGCCCAAAGAGAUCCACAGAUGAUGCAAUCUGAAUUGCACUCCACACCGCCCUUUCCCACCUGGACAAAAGGAACACCUAUGUGAGAAUGCUAUUUAUUGACUGCAGCUCAGCGUUCAACACCAUAGUACCAUCAAAGCUCAUCACUAAGUUAAGGAUCCUG
RNAcentral lists this long non-coding RNA (1794 nucleotides) under Salmo salar (Atlantic salmon). Its description in RNAcentral is "lncRNA (ENSSSAG00000115594.1)". Lineage: Eukaryota; Metazoa; Chordata; Actinopteri; Salmoniformes; Salmonidae. The record is from RNAcentral.